UUUUGUUAAAAAAAAGUUGAUUGAUAUUAUGAAAUUUAUAUGAUUUGGCGGUAUUUUAAAUAGUUAGAGGAAUUUGUCAAAUAAAUGAUAGUCCACGAGUGGAGGGUCCUAUUUAAGUUUUUAUGUAUUGUUGUUUUAAGAUUAGUUUAAGAGGAUAUAAUUGAUAAAUUAGAUAAAAUUUUAAUUCAAAUCAAAAUGUAGAAUUUUUAGGUUAUGAUGAGUUAUAGUUUAAUAUAAUGAGAUUAAGUUUUUAAUAAUUUAAUUGAAUAAGAUUUAAUAGUAAAUUUAUAAAAAUUUAUAAAUUGAAAUUUUAGAUAAAAUAUG
This 324-nucleotide ribosomal RNA is filed under the name Cephalotes sp. CS0445. RNAcentral's name for it is "partial 12S ribosomal RNA". Lineage: Eukaryota; Metazoa; Arthropoda; Insecta; Hymenoptera; Formicidae. The record is from RNAcentral.